This 253-nucleotide ribosomal RNA is filed under the name uncultured bacterium. RNAcentral's name for it is "partial 16S ribosomal RNA". It matches the Rfam family "Bacterial small subunit ribosomal RNA", at positions 524 to 776 of the family's 1533-position model. The record is from RNAcentral.
UACAGAGGGGGCAAGCGUUAUUCGGAAUUAUUGGGCGUAAAGGGCGCGUAGGCGGCCUGGCAAGUGGAAGGUGAAAUCCCUCGGCUUAACCGAGGAACUGCCUUCCAGACUGCUUGGCUUGAGACCGGGAGAGGUGAGUGGAAUUCCCAGUGUAGCGGUGAAAUGCGUAGAUAUUGGGAGGAACACCAGUGGCGAAGGCGGCUCACUGGACCGGUACUGACGCUGAGGCGCGAAAGCGUGGGGAGCAAACGGG